This 904-nucleotide long non-coding RNA is filed under the name Pan troglodytes (chimpanzee). RNAcentral's name for it is "long non-coding RNA NONPTRT016997". Lineage: Eukaryota; Metazoa; Chordata; Mammalia; Primates; Hominidae. The record is from RNAcentral.
CGGAGGCGGGGGUCAGGGCGGGGACCCGGACCCCAGCCCCAUCGGGGACAGAGUCCAAAAAUAGCUCGCGUCCUUGGUGUUCGCCUUGUCGCAGGAGCCUCGCCAUCGCGCAAUCUGCACUCGCCCCUCUGCAGAUCUAAGGCCAGACCUGGGCCACCCUAACUUCUCGGUAUCUCCUAUUUCUACAAACCGGCCGGGUAGAGGAUGCAGCCGGGCGUGGUGGCUACAAGAAAGUGCCCUGGUGUUAAGAACUCAGCCUCUGAAACCUGCCGCCCAGCUUCGAGUCAGCGACGUACUUUUGUUGUCCCGGCCUUAGUAUCCCCGCUGCAAUAAGAGUGUAAGCUCCUAAAGGCAGAAAUCAAGCUGACCUAAGCAAAGACCUGAAGGGGCUAUGAGGACAUCUGGCAGAAGAGGUAAUGCUACGGGCGAGAGGCUGGCCAGCGGCUAUAAACAAGUUAAGGGACUCCUCUGAGCCUCAGCAUCCCAUCCCUGGAAUGGAGAGAAGGACGUCUGCCCUGCUUAUCUCAAAAGGACAUCGAUGAGAUCAUAGAAGCCCAAGCUGAGGUUACAUCUGAUGCUAAAAACUAGACGAGAAAGGGUCUGUCUGACCCUCAAGGUCAGCAAUGUGUGUGCAACUCCCCUCUCGGGGUCUGGGGACGCAGCCAUGUGUUCCAUCAAACACCAGGCUUUGGGGAUAUUGUAGGGCUCAGCAAGACCGCCGACUGCUAGUUUAUUAAAAGAGCAGCUGCCAUCCCGCCGCGCAGUGGGACAGAGAGCUGCAGCCCGGCGCAGGCUCGACCCCGCAGGGAACCGCGACCCGGGGAUAGGCAGCUCUGGGCUGCACUGAUCUGGGACUCUGUCGGCUUUACAGACACACACACACACGCGCACGCGCGCACACACA